Molecule: ribosomal RNA, 166 nt
Filed under: Myxotrichaceae sp.
Lineage: Eukaryota; Fungi; Ascomycota; Leotiomycetes; Myxotrichaceae
Description: partial large subunit ribosomal RNA
Rfam family: Eukaryotic large subunit ribosomal RNA
Source: RNAcentral
CGGCAACAGCUCAAAUUUGAAAUCUGGCCUCUUUUGGGGUCCGAGUUGUAAUUUGUAGAGGAUGUUUUGGGUACCGCACUGGUUUAAAUUUCUUGGAACAGGACAUCACAGAGGGUGAGAAUCCCGUACGUGCCCGGUGGCCGCCCCCGUGUGAAGCUCCUUCGAC